UCCUACGGGAGGCAGCAGUAGGGAAUUUUCGGCAAUGGGGGAAACCCUGACCGAGCAACGCCGCGUGAAGGAAGAAGUAAUUCGUUAUGUAAACUUCUGUCAUAGAGGAAGAACGGUGGAUAUAGGGAAUGAUAUCCAAGUGACGGUACUCUAUAAGAAAGCCACGGCUAACUACGUGCCAGCAGCCGCGGUAAUACGUAGGUGGCGAGCGUUAUCCGGAAUUAUUGGGCGUAAAGAGGGAGCAGGCGGCACUAAGGGUCUGUGGUGAAAGAUCGAAGCUUAACUUCGGUAAGCCAUGGAAACCGUAGAGCUAGAGUGUGUGAGAGGAUCGUGGAAUUCCAUGUGUAGCGGUGAAAUGCGUAGAUAUAUGGAGGAACACCAGUGGCGAAGGCGACGAUCUGGCGCAUAACUGACGCUCAGUCCCGAAAGCGUGGGGAGCAAAUAGGAUUAGAUACCCUAGUAGUCCACGCCGUAAACGAUGAGUACUAAGUGUUGGGAGUCAAAUCUCAGUGCUGCAGUUAACGCAAUAAGUACUCCGCCUGAGUAGUACGUUCGCAAGAAUGAAACUCAAAGGAAUUGACGGGGGCCCGCACAAGCGGUGGAGCAUGUGGUUUAAUUCGAAGCAACGCGAAGAACCUUACCAGGUCUUGACAUCGAUCUAAAGGCUCCAGAGAUGGAGAGAUAGCUAUAGAGAAGACAGGUGGUGCAUGGUUGUCGUCAGCUCGUGUCGUGAGAUGUUGGGUUAAGUCCCGCAA
RNAcentral lists this ribosomal RNA (755 nucleotides) under gut metagenome. RNAcentral describes it as "bacterial SSU rRNA". It matches the Rfam family "Bacterial small subunit ribosomal RNA", at positions 337 to 1092 of the family's 1533-position model. The record is from RNAcentral.